RNAcentral lists this ribosomal RNA (560 nucleotides) under uncultured bacterium. RNAcentral's name for it is "bacterial SSU rRNA". It matches the Rfam family "Bacterial small subunit ribosomal RNA", at positions 338 to 916 of the family's 1533-position model. The record is from RNAcentral.
CCUACGGGAGGCAGCAGUGGGGAAUCUUGCGCAAUGGGCGAAAGCCUGACGCAGCCAUGCCGCGUGAAUGAUGAAGGUCUUAGGAUUGUAAAAUUCUUUCACCGGGGACGAUAAUGACGGUACCCGGAGAAGAAGCCCCGGCUAACUUCGUGCCAGCAGCCGCGGUAAUACGAAGGGGGCUAGCGUUGCUCGGAAUUACUGGGCGUAAAGGGAGCGUAGGCGGAUAGUUUAGUCAGAGGUGAAAGCCCAGGGCUCAACCUUGGAAUUGCCUUUGAUACUGGCUAUCUUGAGUACGGAAGAGGUAUGUGGAACUCCGAGUGUAGAGGUGAAAUUCGUAGAUAUUCGGAAGAACACCAGUGGCGAAGGCGACAUACUGGUCCGUUACUGACGCUGAGGCUCGAAAGCGUGGGGAGCAAACAGGAUUAGAUACCCUGGUAGUCCACGCUGUAAACGAUGAGUGCUAGUUGUCGGCAGGCAUGCCUGUCGGUGACGCAGCUAACGCAUUAAGCACUCCGCCUGGGGAGUACGGUCGCAAGAUUAAAACUCAAAGGAAUUGACGG